RNAcentral lists this ribosomal RNA (393 nucleotides) under bacterium enrichment culture. RNAcentral describes it as "bacterial SSU rRNA". It matches the Rfam family "Bacterial small subunit ribosomal RNA", at positions 521 to 916 of the family's 1533-position model. The record is from RNAcentral.
UAAUACGGAGGAUGCAAGCGUUAUCCGGAUUCAUUGGGUUUAAAGGGUGCGCAGGCGGAUUGGUAAGUCAGUGGUGAAAUUCUAGUGCUUAACAUUAGACCUGCCAUUGAUACUGUCAGUCUAGAGUAUAGUUGGAGUGGGCGGAAUGUGUCAUGUAGCGGUGAAAUGCUUAGAUAUGACACAGAACACCGAUCGCGAAGGCAGCUCACUAAGCUAAAACUGACGCUCAUGCACGAAAGCGUGGGGAUCAAACAGGAUUAGAUACCCUGGUAGUCCACGCUGUAAACGAUGAUUACUCGAUGUUGGCGAUACACAGUCAGCGUCUGAACGAAAGUAUUAAGUAAUCCACCUGGGGAGUACGUUCGCAAGGAUGAAACUCAAAGGAAUUGACGG